RNAcentral lists this transfer RNA (76 nucleotides) under Shewanella xiamenensis. RNAcentral describes it as "tRNA-Val". It matches the Rfam family "tRNA". From Rfam's summary of the family: Transfer RNA (tRNA) molecules are approximately 80 nucleotides in length. Their secondary structure includes four short double-helical elements and three loops (D, anti-codon, and T loops). Further hydrogen bonds mediate the characteristic L-shaped molecular structure. tRNAs have two regions of fundamental functional importance: the anti-codon, which is responsible for specific mRNA codon recognition, and the 3' end, to which the tRNAs corresponding amino acid is attached (by aminoacyl-tRNA synthetases). tRNAs cope with the degeneracy of the genetic code in two manners: having more than one tRNA (with a specific anti-codon) for a particular amino acid; and 'wobble' base-pairing, i.e. permitting non-standard base-pairing at the 3rd anti-codon position. Lineage: Bacteria; Pseudomonadati; Pseudomonadota; Gammaproteobacteria; Alteromonadales; Shewanellaceae. RNAcentral also lists the same sequence under 3 other names. The record is from RNAcentral.
GGUCGCUUAGCUCAGCUGGGAGAGCACCUCCCUUACAAGGAGGGGGUCACUGGUUCGAUCCCAGUAGCGACUACCA